GACGAACGCUGGCGGCGUGCCUAAUACAUGCAAGUUGAGCGCUGAAGGUUGGUACUUGUACCAACUGGAUGAGCAGCGAACGGGUGAGUAACGCGUGGGGAAUCUGCCUUUGAGCGGGGGACAACAUUUGGAAACGAAUGCUAAUACCGCAUAAAAACUUUAAACACAAGUUUUAAGUUUGAAAGAUGCAAUUGCAUCACUCAAAGAUGAUCCCGCGUUGUAUUAGCUAGUUGGUGAGGUAAAGGCUCACCAAGGCGAUGAUACAUAGCCGACCUGAGAGGGUGAUCGGCCACAUUGGGACUGAGACACGGCCCAAACUCCUACGGGAGGCAGCAGUAGGGAAUCUUCGGCAGUGGACGAAAGUCUGACCGAGCAACGCCGCGUGAGGGAAGAAGGUUUUCGGAUCGUAAAACUCUGUUGGUAGAGAAGAACGUUGGUGAGAGUGGAAAGCUCAUCAAGUGACGGUAACUACCCAGAAAGGGACGGCUAACUACGUG
This 497-nucleotide ribosomal RNA is filed under the name uncultured bacterium. RNAcentral's name for it is "partial 16S ribosomal RNA". It matches the Rfam family "Bacterial small subunit ribosomal RNA", at positions 28 to 507 of the family's 1533-position model. The record is from RNAcentral.